AUUGAACGCUGGCGGCAGGCCUAACACAUGCAAGUCGAACGAGUGGCGGACGGGUGAGUAAUGUCUGGGAAACUGCCUGAUGGAGGGGGAUAACUACUGGAAACGGUAGCUAAUACCGCAUACCAUCGGAUGUGCCCAGAUGGGAUUAGCUAGUAGGUGGGGUAACGGCUCACCUAGGCGACGAUCCCUAGCUGGUCUGAGAGGAUGACAAGCAACACUGGAACUGAGAAACGGUCCAGACCCCUAGGGGAGGCAGCAGUGGGGAAUAUUGCACAAGGGGCGGAAGCCUGAGGCAGCCAGGCCGGGUUUAGGAAGAAGGCCUUCGGGUUGUAAAGUACUUUCAGCGGGGAGGCGUUACCCGCAGAAGAAGCACCGGUUAGCCCGGUGCCAGCAGCCGCGGUAAUA
RNAcentral lists this ribosomal RNA (405 nucleotides) under uncultured bacterium. RNAcentral's name for it is "partial 16S ribosomal RNA". It matches the Rfam family "Bacterial small subunit ribosomal RNA", at positions 29 to 525 of the family's 1533-position model. The record is from RNAcentral.